CUUUCCCUCUGGCGGCAUGCCUUACACAUGCAAGUCGAACGGCAGCACGGGUGCUUGCACCUGGUGGCGAGUGGCGAACGGGUGAGUAAUACAUCGGAACAUGUCCUGUAGUGGGGGAUAGCCCGGCGAAAGCCGGAUUAAUACCGCAUACGAUCUACGGCUGAAAGCGGGGGACCUUCGGUCCUCGCGCUAUAGGGUUGGCCGAUAGCUGAUUAGCUAGUUGGUGGGGUAAAGGCCUACCAAGGCGACGAUCAGUAGCUGGUCUGAGAGGACGACCAGCCACACUGGGACUGAGACACGGCCCAGACUCCUACGGGAGGCAGCAGUGGGGAAUUUUGGACAAUGGGCGAAAGCCUGAUCCAGCAAUGCCGCGUGUGUGAAGAAGGCCUUCGGGUUGUAAAGCACUUUUGUCCGGAAAGAAAUCCUUGGCUCUAAUACAGUCGGGGGAUGACGGUACCGGAAGAAUAAGCACCGGCUAACUACGUG
This 486-nucleotide ribosomal RNA is filed under the name uncultured bacterium. RNAcentral's name for it is "partial 16S ribosomal RNA". It matches the Rfam family "Bacterial small subunit ribosomal RNA", at positions 36 to 507 of the family's 1533-position model. The record is from RNAcentral.